Molecule: long non-coding RNA, 504 nt
Organism: Protopterus annectens (West African lungfish)
Lineage: Eukaryota; Metazoa; Chordata; Ceratodontiformes; Protopteridae
Exons: 4
Source: RefSeq, a predicted model, not a curated record
CCAAGAGACUGCUGUAUGUGCUGAGGCUUCUGCAAGGGGAAAACCUUGGUGACAGAGCAGUCACUAAAUUGGAAAGGCUUGGUAUGAUGAAAAAACUUCAAAGUUGCCCGAUGAUGUAUUUGCUGGCAUUAAAAGGGAAGCUGUUACUAACACACCAGAUGUGCCAUAGAUGAACAUUUCUACGUGAAGACAUAAUUCUGAAAGACAGGUCACUCCCCCAGUCAACAUAAAAGACUUUUUCACAAUCACAUCUCACCGUAAUUGAAAUGAGGUUGGAUGCAUUCCAAGACACAAAGCUGAAGAACAUAAAGAUAUGCUCCCAUAUAGCAUUCAGCAUUCAGCACUCACCUGCAGUCUGGUACUCCAAAAAGUGCAGUAUGCAAACAAGUGAUGGCAUGAAACUGGUGACAUAGGAAAUGGCAGCUGGAAGUUUCUGUUCUUUGUUUACAUCCUGACCAUUACUUAAACAGCUGUACAACUGAAUAAAUAAAACAAAAAGUAUAC